Molecule: non-coding RNA, 6748 nt
Organism: Cricetulus griseus (Chinese hamster)
Lineage: Eukaryota; Metazoa; Chordata; Mammalia; Rodentia; Cricetidae
Source: RefSeq, a predicted model, not a curated record
AACCUGAUGGUGUAUUUUUGAUCUCAUUAGUAGUCAGGGAGCUAUCUCCCUGCAUCCGGUGUUGCUAGUCCGGGAGGAGACACGCUACAACACAGAGAGAGCAAGCGCGAGAGAAUAUUAGAAGAGGCUUGUCUUCAAGAUAUGGAAGGAAGUGAGAGAUGACAGUGCUGCAAGCUUUGUAUGCAGGAGCCUGGCAGGGCGGGGGAGAGGCAAGGGAAGCCAAGUGGGUUCUCAGAAAAGGGGGGAAGCCAUCAAAGAGCUAAAGGUGAUUAGAGGAGGAUAUCGAUUCCUUACUCUGCCAGAGGUUUAAGCAGGCAUGUGAGGAAUCUGCCUGCACCACGGUUGGCAGAGAGAGACCCAUUGCCUCCUGUAACCAGACACUGGGGCUUUCCAGGAGCCCAGGGAGAAAGCCGAGAAGAAAGGGGGCAGUGUGGUCUAGGAAAAUUCAACUUGUCGCUGAUUUGUGCCUGAUGCUUGCUGUCCGUCAGCAGCCUCCCUUACAUGCUUUUUUCCUUUCUCUCCUUUUUUUCUCCCCUUGCCUUCUUCUUCAGUGAAGCCUAGGGGAGCCAGUAAAGAUUAAAUGUGCUUUCUCAAAGGCAGCCACUUCAUGCUGCUAUGUCGAAAGGGCUAUUAUUAUUAAUAAAAUGAGAGAGAGAGAGAGAGAGAGAGAGAGAGAGAGAGAGAGAGAGAGACUAGGUAUGAUGAUGACGGACUGGCUCUUUGGAGAGGAAAAGGGAAAGGCGAAAAAAGGAGAGGCAGACGGAGAGCUGAACGGUGGACUGUACAUGAGCAGAACCUACAGAGGUGAGAAAAAAAAGUUGUGUGUGGGUGUUCUAAACAGACCCUGUGCUGGGGGAAAGAGACAGGGUUUAGAGGGCUGGCUGGCAUGAUUCUAGUUCUUCUGGCGGGGAGGAGGCAAGCCUGGAGCUCUUCACUGUUCCUAGUUGUAUAUGAAAGUAUAUUAAAAAUAGUUGGCUUUUUUCUUUUCCUUUUUUUUUAAACUCGGAUAGAAGGGCCCCCUCCAGUGUCUUCCUUAGGGCCGGUGCUUUGUUACUCUGUGUGCCCAGCCAGCCAUCUACUUUGCUCAGGCCUGGGAUAAAAGAAAGAAAGGAGGGGUGAGGGGAAAGAAAUUUUUUUUAAAGAAGCAUCUUCCCGGUCGGCUUCCCCUCCCUUUCGGUUCUUUUUUUUUUUUUUUUUUUUUUUUUUUUUUUUUUUUUUUUUUGAGUCUGCACAGGAAAGCUCAGCUUCUAAGCAGAGGAGGUUGGGGAAAGCGACUCUAUCAGGUACAGCACUAGUGGCUGUCUGCGAAGAUGGAGGGGGAUUAUGCCUCGGAUUCCUCUGAAAUAUUGGCCAAAGGCUUCAAAGGAUCCGCAGCGGGAGGCGAGGUGGGGGAGCAUCUCCCCAGCUUGCACCCACCCCUUCCCACUUUGCGUCUACCAAAUGACAGGCUGGUGCUCGCUCUGGGUGAUUUUGGCCUUGGCCUCAGCCAAGCAGCUGAUGGAGAGGAGGGCCGGGUUUGCAAGACUGACAGAACUCUGCAUGCUAGAGAAAGAAGGAAAAAAAAAUUUUUUUUUUACAAGCAAUCCUUGGGAAAUUUUCUCUUUCUCUCUCGAUUUAUUCAAUUUUAAUUUUUAACCGACUGUUUUCCAAAUUUGAUCAGCCCCAGCCCCUCCCUCUACUCCCACCCAACUGCCUCUCCCCCCACCCCCACUCUCGGUCAAAGCAUAAACCACAGAGUUACGGUCUUCUCUCGAUUUUGGAGUAUCGCUUCCUGCCCCCGCCUUCCCUCCCCGCCCCAUUCUCUGUCCUAUUGAACACCUCGCCCAGCCUAGCGCAUUGCGAGCUCACAUUCUCCCCCCGGGUCCGGAUGGCGCUCCUGGAAGCUCUGCAGCCGGGCUCCACUUCAAAUGGAUGGUAUUAUAGCCAAAAUGUUUCGCCUGUCAUCAGUCUCCUGAAACUAUGAUAGCCCAUGCAAAUAUGAGCCUAACACAAAAAGAUGAAUGGGCCGGAAGUGCUGAGAACCAUAUGGGUGUGUUUCCACAAGGAGGGAGUCUCCAGGCUGAGGAGAGGUGGACUGACUACAGUCUGCACCAGGGAGGUGGCUGCCCACUUCUUCCUCCAUUGCCUUUUCAAGUCUUCAAGGUAAAAGAGCAAUCGCAGUUUGGUUUCACUUGUAUUGUUCUAUAAUCCAGGCAAUAAAUGCUAAUUAGUAAUGCUCAAGGAUCCGACCAUUCAGAGUAAUUAUCAUAAUUUACUUCUUCCUCGUUAAAGACAUUCCUUGCUGAUUUAAAAAAAAAAAAAAAAAAAAAAGUCGUCCCUUCCCCAUGGUGUUACAGUGAGUAUUCACUGGAAAGAUGUUCAAGGUGCACUCACAGCUUCGUGGCUGCAUUUGAGGUCACCAACAUGUGCCCUGGCUUAUUCGGAAUGGAACUUCCACUUUGAUUUCUAAGAUGGAAUUCAUAUAAAUGCAUCAAUGUCUGCACAUCACCGGGAAUGUAUGAUUUUAUUUUGCAAACCCCGAGGCUCCUCCUUCAGAGCCCACCCCUUUUUCUAAAACCACUUAUGAGCAGAACAAAGGAAAGUACUAACUAUAGAGGCAUCAUUAGAUGUGAACAGUCACUGCACAGUAAAGUGUGUGCUAUGACAACAUAUUUCAUUGCACAAAAGUGCAGAUAAUUAAAUAAUUCAACAGCAAACCCGACUAAUUAGCAGAAAGAUCUUUAAAGGGGAAUCAAGAAAAUGGAUCCAAUCAACUCGAAGAAUAUGUUUUAUUCUCCGAGACCGAAAAUAUAUUUUAGUUGUUUGGGGAUUGAUUCAUGUAGGGUGUGAGGACAAAAGCCAAUUCCUCAACGCAAAGCUUGGAUCUUCUUUAGACACACAAACUGAACGUCUGUCUUAAAUGAUCUGAAUUUAAUGUAAGAGUUUCCCUUUGCAGUCAAAGGCAUAACAUGCCACUCAGAUGUAUGUCUCUUUUAUCUAUAGAUCUAAUAGAUGGCCAACCCUUAGCUGUUCAGUUGGCUUCCUCAGUGUGUAUGUAGCCUCUCCCACAUUUCCUAAUGAUUCAUGUUGAAGUUCCUUAUUGCUUGAAGCAAGUAUCAUGUUCACAGUACAGAAAGAAUAAGUAACUGUACUCAGUGUUAUCCAGGGUAACACCCCUCCCCAUUUCCUUUGUCAAGGUGUUAUUCUCAGUGUUCAUUGUUCAUUGGUCCUUUAAGCAGGAGAUCUAGUUUUAACUUGAGGGCUAUAAGCACAUUAGAAGACUAAUUCCCCUUGGAUACUGUACAGAAGGAGCCACCUGCAAAAUGUUGAUGCUGUUAUUGAAGUCUCAAGUGGAAUCAGCUUUCAAAAAAUUAGAUAUUAGAUACAUCCGAUAUAAUUUGCAAUCUGUAAUUAUCCUAAUGUGCAUAUAGCUGGGCGUUGCUUUACAUGUAGCCUACUUGAGUUUGUCGACCACCCCCACCCUUGGGCAUGUUUCAUCACUUGAAAUUGCCCCUGAGUAGAAUGCUUUUUAAGCCAGCUUAUUUUUUUAAUUCCUUGUUAAUUAAUAUAAGAAUAAAAGGACUUUGCAGCCUGUGUGCUUGUGUGAGAAUGAAAGUAUAAAACCUAGAUAUUGAAAACUAAUGAUCUCUCGAAGGACUGUCACUGGAGACACUUGAAUUCUUUGCAAAAUAUUUGCAAUUCUUUGUGGAUUUGUUCUUUAUCCUGACUUUGGAUAACUUGGAAGCAUGGAGAACAUCAGAGUAGUAAAUAUUACUCAUAAGAAAUAUAUUUCCUUUGUUGGAAUUAGAAAAAUGACAUUAGGCAAAGAUAAUAGUUUUUAACUUAAUCAAAAUAAUCAAGCCAUUAACAAUAAUAAACAAUUCCUUUUCUCUUUUCCCUUCCAUUUUGCAUGUCACAUGAUGAGUAAAUGAAACUCUUAUGCAUUAACUUCAGUUCCCUUUUGGGGCCUCAUUGUGAUUCCAGAGACCUACUGAUGGCUCCACUGGGGAGCCCCUUCCAGCAAGCUGCCCUCUGAAGAUCUACCUAUCAAGAAAAAAAAAAAAAAGCCAGGCAGAAGCACAGUGAGUUGGCUGGCCAGCCUGGUACUUGGCUAUGUGCAGUAGGUGAUGAGAUUGUCAAGACAAACUUGGAGAAUGAUUAUUACUGGGCAAGGCAAUCUGAGGGUCUCACUUUUUCCUUCUGCAUUCAAAUUACAAAAAGGAUCCCAAGAGAACCUUGUGUUGAGUAAAAGACCCUACUCUACUACUCAAUGCAAGUUGUUGUACUGAUGUUCCUUUCAGCUGGUCCUAUAGUCCCCUUCCUCAGGAAUAUCUCCCCAGUGAAAGAACAAAGACUACAGAGACUGCUAGACUGAUGGACAUUCAUACCAACUGUGAAGUUGAAACAAAGCAAGUGACCACCUGAAGAUACCCCAGCAGCCACCCAUGUGGUGCAGUUGCAGCCAAUACUAAUCUUUGCAAGAAACAGGAAGACCCAGAUGAUUAAUGAGUCAAAAACUUGCUUUCUUGUGUGUAUUUGUCUGUCUGUGUUCAGAUUCACUUGCCUUCUAUUUUUUAUACUAGUAUGGAUAUGCUUGUUAGUGUGCUUGUGUAAAGGCAACUUUGCACAUGUGUGUUCAUGCACGAAAAGACUGAAUUUUCUGUGGAGACUAAUUUUUAUCAACACAUAGUAUUUGUUCUUGAGAAAGAUCUAGAAAAUGAAAAACAGUGUUGUCACAGGUGACCCACAGAGAUGCUCAUGCCAUCAUGCAGAAACACCACAUCAUGCCCCCAGACUCUGAGCAGCAAGCUUGCCUCUGUGACAUAUGGCAGCUGCUUCCGAGGGUGAAAAUCAAACUGGACAAGGGUAUAUAAGCUACCUAAAAUGUAGUGAUAAACUGAGUCAGUAGACAAUAGAGUAGAAAUAAAAUGAAAGACAAUGGCUUGCCUAAGGGAGAAUGUUGCCCUAAAGAGAAAUAUGAAAUGACUCAUAAAGGAUGUAAAAAAAAUAGAUAAAUGGGAAGGUAGAAGAAAAUAGAGUCUUUAAGGUGAGCAUAAUAGUACGCCAGGACAUGGCAGAGGAAAUCCACUGGGUGAGUUUUGGAGGUUGCAAAUACUCAGGUCAACUUGAUUCCACCCAAUACUCAGCACCCCAGAAGUCACCUAAACCAAACUACAACUAAAGUUCCAGUUCUCUGUCACUGGAAAGAUGAAGGUGAUUGGUAGCACCUGUGCAGAACUCAUGAUUCUUCUGUUCAUAAUUGCUAGCUACCAAGUUUAUUCCAUGUAGAAUGUAUUUUGCCUAAUAAAUCUCAUGACAACCAUGAAAAUUACACAUUAUCCAUACUUCCCAGGUGAUGAAACUGAUUUUGAUGAGGUCAAGUGCCUGGGCAAGGUGCUUUGUGCAGCUGUGAACAUUCAAGAUUGUGGUCACAAAGUUCAUGAGCUGAAGCCUAAAGUCAGAAUUUUGUGAUCAGUACCAACACUUUUGUCACUUUCCCUACAGACCUUAAAGUCUUUCUUUGGAAACAAAUAGCUCUUCUGCUUACUUAUGGCCUCAAUGGUCUACUCAAAUACUUUUGUAUUUUAACUACAUCAGAAUGAUAAAAUGUAUUUUAUGACAGCAAAUUGAAAAGUUAAUGGUGGCAAGCCAGCCAGUAUUUUAGACAUUUCCUUUUCAUUUUGGUUAGACAUCAUGAGAUUUUUUUUUACUUAGUUCUGUAAGAAAACUCAAAGUUUUAAGAGCAGUGGGCCUUACGUUACCUUUUACAAUAUCUUUUUGAUGGAAAACAUAAAUCUAUAGUCUGAAAGCAGAGUUACUUAGAAAAAUAACCAACCCAAACAAACAAAAUAAAACAAACCACAUAUUUGGAAAUAUCCCAGCAAGGACUAGAAACUAGGCCCUCAGUUAUCUUUCAGUAGUUUUUAAACUACUCCACCCUACCUGUGCCCUAAAGAAACAUGAACUUUUAUUUGAUUAAAAGAGGUAUUCUGUCUAUGUGAUUAAAGAAUGCUUCACAGAUUGGAUCUAGUAGAUCUCACCAUUUCCUUCCCCUCUCUGGCACUUCAUGUCAAUAUGAAAUACAGCUAUGGAUUAGUGUAUUUGGGUCAAGAAGUUGUCAAUGAUCUGUCCCCAAAGAAUAUAGAAUAGCCACAGUUGUAUGUAUAUUAUAUCUUUAAUGAUAUCCCCAAUCAUGAAGUCAUUGCUUCACUUGUACUGAUCCAAUCUCCCAUUGUACAUCUUAUCAAUGCCUUUGGGCAAUGACCAACUUUUGUGAAUGCUGAGAAUGCUUAUCCAUGACUUUUUCAGUAAUGCAAUUCAGUAUUAAGAAUUACCACUAGUCAUUUUGUGUUGUAAUCCUUGUUUAUUCACUUCCAGUCACUCUGUACUUGAUUGGCAUUUAACAGUGUUUAAUAAAAUGGCCAUCUAGAUAACAUAGAUAUCCAAAUUGUGAUUUUUGUCUUAAAGGAGACAGUUAAGCUAGGUCUGCUAAGGGACAGACAUGUAACUUUUUGAGAGAUCUGGAUAUUUAACUUUUGUAACUUUCUACUUAGCUGUUUGACAUCAUAUGUAGCCCCCAUCAUGGCACUAGCUGUCUUGUUUUUUCAAAGUGCUUGUUGGUUCUGUCUUACUCUGUUCUCACUGAGUUCAUAAACAAACAGGUUUGUUGUUAACAAGUAGCCCAAGGACAGAGUGUGACUGUGUUGACAUUUUAUGAGACUUUCUUUUCCCUGACUCACAAUAAAAGAAAUGUUGCAUUAACUGUGAA